Molecule: ribosomal RNA, 521 nt
Filed under: uncultured bacterium
Lineage: Bacteria
Description: bacterial SSU rRNA
Rfam family: Bacterial small subunit ribosomal RNA
Source: RNAcentral
GAUCCUGGCUCAGAUUGAACGCUGGCGGCGUGCUUAACACAUGCAAGUCGCGCGUGAAAGGACUUCGGUCCGAGUAAAGCGGCGCACGGGUGAGUAACGCGUGGAUGAUCUACCCAUGAGUUAGGAAUAACGGCUGGAAACGGUCGCUAAUACCAAAUACGCUCCGAUUUCAACUUCGGGGGAAAGGUGGCCUCUGACUUGCAAGCUACUGCUCAUGGAUGAGUCCGCGUCCCAUUAGCUAGUUGGUGGGGUAACGGCCCACCAAGGCGACGAUGGGUAAGCCGGUCUGAGAGGAUGACCGGCCACACUGGGACUGGAACACGGCCCAGACUCCUACGGGAGGCAGCAGUGGGGAAUAUUGCGCAAUGGGCGAAAGCCUGACGCAGCGACGCCGCGUGAAGGGAUGAAGGUCCUCGGAUCGUAAACCUCUGUCAGGAGGGAAGAACCGCCACGGUGCUAAUCAGCCGUGGUCUGACGGUACCUCCAAAGGAAGCACCGGCUAACUCCGUGCCAGCCGCUGC